CAGCGAUACCUCUAUAACUUGUGGUACUUGUUCAUGGGCUGUGUAAAAAAAUGUUCUUUUAAUACAUCGAGUUACCAAUAUGCUGAAAAUUACAUCCAGUAAAACUAGCAAGACCUCUUUAACUAGAACACUGCCGUAUUUGUAGGUUCAUCGAUCCUUCGUCGGCACGGUGGUAAUGCAAGUCACCGUCGGCGGUCGCUUCGAUCCAACCACUUGAGGAUCGUGAUCCCCGAAUCCAUCUUCCACUUACCCACAGCCGUUCCUAGCUCAUAAACAAAACAUGAACAACAGAUGGUGGUGGUAGUGGUGGCUGUCAAAGAACUCAAACCCGGAGAUCUUUGUAGCCAAAUCGGAGCCGGCUUACCGAGUAUUGCCGGUCCCUGUCUUUACCACGACGACGACGCGCUAUCUACCUCCUCUUCCUCCGGCACGCCUCGUAGUUGUACGAGACGUUGCCCGGCCAACCCCCGUCGACAUCACUAGCUGGACGCCACGUCCUGGCCGGAGCGUAUCUGCUUGAACAGAACAGACACAUUCUUAUCCCUUGUUCAUCAUCACUGGAGGAAGGAGAGGAUCAAAAAGGUCGAGGCUGAUCAGCCACUGUAGUAUAUGCGUUAUCUCGCAUCACGUAGGAUCAGUGGAAGCUGGUCCUGUCGUUUUCAGAAUUAUUAAAUAAUCAGAUCCAUAGAUUACCUUACAUUCUUCCAAAAUCAUUUUCCCGCAGCGCACAGGGGCUAGGACAAAUUCUCACAGACAAAGAAGUCGUGGUCUUGCUAGUACUACUGCACAUCACCCCACUUCGCAGCAACAGCAACAGUCUUGCUAGAAUGCUAGUACUCUCGCGGCCUCGCCCGGACUGACUGGUUCAGCGCUCCUCAUCAGAAGAUUUCAAUCCUUUCUUCAGACAGAUUGGUUCAGGUAUACCAGUGCGUACACGCCUCGUUCGCCGGCCUUCAUCAGUUUCACCGAAGACCUCCCUCCAUUCGUCCCCGGAACGCACGCUAGCUCUGCAGCUGCAGGGGACGAGACGGCGUGUCCCAGAUCGACGGCGCACACGCUGCGGGUGUCUAGGUUUGGCUGGGUCAAGCUGCUGUCUCUGGAUCCUCCUCCACGGGCGGUGUCACCUUCCGACCCCGUGUGCCCCCGGACCGGGUGAAAACGGGAAGAAACGCGGGGGAAAGGCAACAACAAAAAACGGGGCGGACACGGCGUACAUAGGGGACUCGUGCUGGGUUGCUGGUUGGACAACAGCUGCGCAGCGCAGCCGGUCCCCGGAAGUGGCCGUUAGUGGUGGGCGCCUCGAGGCCGGACGAAUAGACCGGGCCUGGAUGACUAGACGGAGUACACGUCGCCCUCUUUGUCAUCGUCCAACAUUUCCUGCAUGGU
This 1386-nucleotide long non-coding RNA is filed under the name Sorghum bicolor (sorghum). Its description in RNAcentral is "long non-coding RNA (SBIC_LNC001789)". The record is from RNAcentral. Lineage: Eukaryota; Viridiplantae; Streptophyta; Magnoliopsida; Poales; Poaceae.